GCGUGUGUGUGUAAAUGUUGAACUGGGGAGGCGUGUCCGGAUGUAACUUAUUUGGAUUUAAAGUGACAGAGCCCUGAAACAGCUCAUCCUGAA
Poecilia latipinna (sailfin molly) is the source of this 93-nucleotide long non-coding RNA. RefSeq lists it as uncharacterized. The record is from RefSeq and is a predicted model, not a curated record. Lineage: Eukaryota; Metazoa; Chordata; Actinopteri; Cyprinodontiformes; Poeciliidae. The transcript is spliced from 3 exons.